This 13506-nucleotide long non-coding RNA is filed under the name Lathyrus oleraceus (garden pea). RNAcentral describes it as "Pisum sativum (pea) long non-coding RNA (PSAT_LNC021789)". The record is from RNAcentral. Lineage: Eukaryota; Viridiplantae; Streptophyta; Magnoliopsida; Fabales; Fabaceae.
CCAUCUUUUCACAACCUAAACUCUAAUACAUAUUGCAUCUUCAUUCUUGCAUGCCUCCAUAUGACUCCAUGACCAAUGUCUUCAUAAGAAAGAAAGCCACCUUUUACACCAUUGUUUUUCCAUGCCUUGAAUGCUCAUUUGAUGUGCAUUUACCAAGCAUUGUUUUGCCAUAUCUUUGAGCCUUGCAGUCACAUCAUCACUUACAGACCUGUCACAACCCAAACAGCUACAAAGUAAACCAUCCAUGGCAUCAUCUAACACACAUUUCAAGCAUUCAUAACUAACUCAAUCAUGGCAACAUAUCCUAUAUGGCCAUAGUACAUUAACCUAGCAUGAAGAAACAUACAUGCACAUCUGCAGCAUGAAUAAAUGGGAAAACAUGCAUUUCAAGGAAAAAAACAUUCAAAGCCUUACAUAAACCAUAGGCUGCAGCAAAUCAAACCAAAGCCUACAGCCUGCAAAUCACCUGCAAGUUACCAUUCAAUCAAACUAAACAUAGGUAACACAUCAUGCAAUGCAACCAAGUGAAAACUAACCCACCGCCCUAACCUACAAGACAAACCACCAAUUAUAAAAUAACAACAUCAAUUCAAGCACAACCUGCAUCGAGUCAGCAAACCUAGUCAUGCAACCAAUCAUGCCUAAACCUACAGCAAGACAAUAAAGCUUCACAUCAAGUCUGCACCAACAUUACAUAGCAUAUGAACGUAGCUGACAUAACCUGCAGACAUUGGUAUUGCACAACAACCAUGAUCCAAUCAAGCAAUGCAGAACAUAACAUAUGGCAUGGCAAAAAUCAACAAGGCAAAAGCAAUAUCAAAAUAGAACAUGAGCAAAUGAUUCAAAUCUACAUGAGUUCACAACAUAACCACAUCAAAACCGAAAAUUGAAUUUAACAACUAACUAACAAAACUUAACUCCCAUCUAACAGGAAAUUGAAUUUCACUUUUCACCAUCUAACUACCAACUUAAUUAGAUCGAAUUUACUAACUAACAUAACAACAUUUAACUAACAAAAUAGUUGAGAGUUUCACCAUUUAAUAGAAAUCAUUUUCACUAAGUGCUCAACUUAACAGAAAACGUAAUCUCAACCUAACUAACCUUUAUUCCAUCAUAACUAACUUUUAACUGAAUCUAAUAUUGUUACAUAACUACCAACAACCUUAAAUCAUUCCAACUAACUGAAUUAACAUAAUUCCUUUUUUCUGUUAACUCCCAGUCUAUAAAUUCAGAUCAACCUUCCACAAUUUCCCUCUUUCGAUUCAUUCACCAGAUUCACGAUUCAUUCUUCAUCAUCAAUCUCUAACAUAAACACAUCUCUCUGCAACCUCUCAUUCACAAAGCUCCUUCGAAAUACUACAUUAAAGAUUCACAUCAAAGCUUCAACGGAGUAGAGCUCAACCUCUUCAAUCAUUCAAUUAUUUUCGAUUCAACUCAAUUCUUCAUGAUCGGUCUCCAAUUCUCCUUGUUUUCUGACACUCAUUCGGCACAAUUUCACGAAGUCGGUAACACAUUAUUCUACCUGUUUUAUUGUUCUGUUUAGUAAAUUAGAUGUUUGCAUUUUUAUUUCAAUUUGUUGAUUAUCUUUGGUUUACAUCAUUAUACUCCAUUUUAUGUCUCCUUGUGGUAGUUUUACUGGUUUCAGGUGUAAGCAAGAAUACCAAAGGAAUUGCCAAGGGAAUCAGACGUUCUGGGCCUGUCGGAAGGGGAAAUUAGACAUACAAUAGCCCUAACACGGGUGCCCGCGUCACUUGACAAGGCCCGUGUCAGGAGAAGAGAGCCAUAGCCAUAAAAUAGGGAGCUGACACGGCCGCCCGUGUCAGUCACCCUGGAAGGGGUGUGUCAGCCCUUGCAGCCAGACAACCAACACGGUCGGUCGUGUUACCUGACACGGCCGGUGUUGGCUUGGACGCCUCAUUUUCAAGUUUUUGUUGUAUUUUGGCACGGCUUAUCCCAUAGGGCAUUUUGGACUUUUGCUACAUCAAAUUAGUGAUCAGGAACUAUUUAGGGGAUUUUUGAAUACGGAGAAGAGGGCUUUUGACGAUUACAGAUUUGGUACGAUUAAGAUUGAAGCGAUCAAAAUCGGUGAAGAAUGGAGGUCCUUCAAGAGCGAAUGCGAUUGAAGAUCAACGGAAUUCCCUUACUUUUGUAAUGUCUAAAUUUUAUUUUGUAUUUUAUUUGAAUAAUAUGAGAGGUUAAACCCCUCAAUUCCAGGGGGGUGUCCCUGAAUUGAUCGUGUAAUGACUCUGAAUUAAUAAUUUCCUUAAUAUAUGAUGUUUGUUGUUAAUUUCACUGUGCAAUGUUAGUACUGCUUUCUUUAUCAAAAAAAUUAGGAUUGUUAUAUGGUUAACAAUUUGCAGGAUUGCAAUUGUUAAGGUGUUUGUACAGUGAAACCAUAGUAGAUAUCACCUAGGGAUAAGGAUACCCUAUGGUUACCAGUUUUAUCUUGUUAAUUUGUAAUUGUUUGGUUUCAUUAUAAUCGCCUAAGGACUUAGAUUUUAAAAUGGAUGACCAAAGGUUUCCCUCUGAGGUCAUAGAAGGAAAUAAUUUUAAGAUUCGGUAAUUGAACAUUUUGUAUUGUUAAGGAGAUAUACACUCAAGGGUUAUUACAGGAGAUUUUCAUACACCAUCCUUGGCAUAUUAUUAUAAAUUGUGAAAAGAUUUACCCUAUUUUAUUUUCUCAUACAGUGACUUUUUACAAAACCCCAACUAUUUAUUUUGUUCAAUUGAGUCACAAUUUAAACUUGUAUUGUUGCGCAAUCCUCGAGAUCGAUCUUUGGGAAACAUCCCUAUUAUUACUACAUUGGCAAAAUAGUACACUUGCUAUUUUCCCGAUCAAGUUUUUGGCGCUGUUGUCGGGGGUUGCCAGAUAUGAAGUUUAAAUUAUUUCAAUUAAAAUUUUGUUGCUCUGCAACUAAAAUUUAUUUUCAGUUAUUUUAAUAAUUUAUUUCGAUUAUAUAACUAAUUUGUGUCUGAUAUUUGUAUGUGAGGUAAGACCUCAGUUGAUUUUUCUUUGGAUGCAGAAAUCGAAAGAACUUUGCGAGCAAGACUCAGACAAGCUCGAUUGGCAACACUGGAAUCAGACGAAGAACGACCUUCCAUUCAUUCAGGUUCAGAGAGAGAGAUCGAAACAAUGGUGGAGAAUCCACCGCCACCAGAAAGACUGUUGGGUGACUAUGGAGGUGCAAAUGCACCAACCGACAGAUUAACAAUUGUCAACCAACUAGUGAACGUGUCUAAUUUCCAGUUACAUCCUAGUACUAUUAAUCAACUUGAAAGGAAGCAUUUCACUGGAAAGGUAAAUGAAGAUGCAAACAAACAUUUGCAGAGGUAUCUGACCAUGAGCAACACUCUAAAAAUUAAUGGUCACAUCGAAGAAGUUAAGAAAUUGAGAAUGUUCCCAUUCACCUUAGCGGAAGAAGUCGAAGAAUGGUUCUAUUUUCUACUUGCCGGUAGCAUCACAUCUUGGGAACAGAUGGAAAAAGCCCUCCUGAAUGAGUAUUUUCCAGUGUCGUUUUUUCUGUGGAAGAGGUAUGAAAUUCUGAAUUUUAAGCAGAAGGACGGGGAAACUUUGGGAGACGCCUACAAGAGAUUCAAGAGAGUCCUGGUCGCCUGUCCAACUCAUAAUAUGGAUCCAACCGAACAGAUGCAGAUGUUUGUGAAUGGUCUCAAAAUAAAGACCAAACAGUUGAUUGAUACCGCAACAAGUGGCUCUACUAAUUUCUCAACAGCCACCGAUAUAAAGAAGAUCAUUGAAGUUAUUGCUGCUAAUGAGCACUUGGAGUUGUACGAUAGAUGUCAAAGCAAACCAUAAGGGGUUAUCAAUUUAAAGCUGGAAACUAAUGAAAUCUGUAUUGAAGAUACUAUAUCUACUGAAGUUGAGAAGAAGCUGAAGGCAAUGAAUAUAGGUACAACAGGUGGCACAGGUCCAACCGACUCCUACUGUAUGUUGUGAAAUUUGUAAUGGUCCGCACCAAACGGUGUAUUGUUUUGCAACUCCUCAACAAAUGGAGGAAAUCAAAUUUUUGAAGUAAAAUAAUCCUUAUUCCAACACGUACAAUCCGAGUUGGAAGAAUCAUCCCAACUUCUCAUGGAAAGACCAGAAAGGAAACACUCCUCAACACGGUCAAUACUAAACUCAAUAUCAACAACAGCAACAACAAUAAGCCCCUAAUAAAGUUGAUUGGGAGAUUGACAUCAAAAGAAUGGCAGCUCAUAAUGUUCAAUUCCAAGAAGAAACCCGAAACAAUCAGAAAAACACCACAGCAUCCAUAAAAAAUCUUGAAGUCCAGAUGGGUCAAAUCGCUCAACAAUUAGCCUCGAGUUCUCAAGCACAAGGUGCUCUACCUAGUGCAACUGUGACAAAUCCUAGAGAGCAUAAUAAUGAGAGCACGGUGACAACAAGAAAUGGUAAAUUUGAUGAAGUAGUCGAGGAUGUGGAUGAAGAGGAAGAUCAAUUGAUUGAAGUGGAUCUUGAAAUCAAAGGAAAUGAAGUUGUGAGGGAAGAAGUGGUAGCACCGAAACCAGUAGUGAAAGAAAUAGUCACUGAGCCUAAGCCGGUUGUUAAGCUUCCUUUUCCCACCAGAAACAAGAAAAAGGGGCAACAUGAGAAAAAGUUUGAAAAGUUCCUAGAAUUGUUCAAGAAGCUAGAGAUUAACAUUCUGCUGUUGGAGGCACUUGAACAAAUGCCUACUUAUGCCAAGUUCAUGAAAGACAUCAUUUCUAAGAGGCGUGCCAUCGCCACCAACCCGAUUAUUCUAACCGAAACUUGUAGUGUUAUUUUGUAGGGUAUGAAUAUUCCAAUAAAGAAGAAAGAUCAAAGAGUUGUCACCAUCCCUUGUAUUAUUGGAGAUAUGUCAUUCAACAAAGCUCUUAUUGAUCUUGGAGCUAGUGUGAGUUUCAUGCCGUUAUCCAAUUACAAGAAGCUUGGUAUAGGGGUUGUGCAAGAUACCAAGAUGACACUCCAAUUCGCCAAUCAUUCGGUCAAGAAACCGUAUGGUAUUGUUGAAGAUGUUCUGGUGAAAAUUGACAAGUUUGUAUUCCCGAUGGAUUUGGUAAUUCUAGAAAUGUCGGAAGAUGAAGAGAUCCCUCUCAUCCUUGGGAGACCCUUUUUAGAUAUGGGAAGGUGCUUGAUCAACAUAGAAGAAGGGACUAUGGUGUUGAAGGUUUAUGAUGAGGAAUUGAAGAUCGAUGUUCGAAACACCAUGAGGUACAAGGAUGAUAUUUGUACCAGUCAUACUAUAGAGGUUCUGGAUCAGGUGAUGACGUAUGAUAGUCCUUUGAAUGCACCACAAUUACCUUUGGAAAGGGUAUUGAGUUUGUCCAUUUUCAAUAAUGAUAAAGAAGUGGACAACGGGGAAUCUGAAGUGCUAGACUUGCUGGAUGCACAACCCCCGUGGAAAGGAUAUCGACCACACCGGUGGGAAGAUUUACGGCUACCUCAAACUAGUGAGGAGGAUGAAGAGCCCAAGAAGGGAACGGAGUUGAAACAACUUCCUGAGAAUCUCAAAUAUGUCUUUCUCGAUUCGGAAGCCAAAUGUCCUGCUAUCAUAAAUUAAAGCCUAAAGAAUAUCCAAGAAGAUAACCUCAUCCAAGUCCUAAAAAAAUACAAAAAGGCUAUUGGAUGGGCAAUUGAGGAUUUAAAAGGUAUCAGCCCUACUGUAUGCAUGCAUAAAAUUCUCAUGGAAGAAGACCACAAACCGGUUGUCCAACCGCAGAGAAGACUCAACCCAGCAAUGAGAGAAGUAGUUCGAAAAGAGGUGGUGAAAUUGUUAGACGCAGGUCUUAUAUAUCUUAUUUCCGACAGCCAUUGCGUGAGCCCGAUGCAUGUUGUCCCAAAGAAAGGAGGACCACCGUAAUAAGGAAUGAAAAGAAUUAGUUAAUCCCUACUCAGGCAAUUACCGGGUGGCGCGUUUGCAUUGACUACAGAAGGUUGAACACAGCAACUAGGAAGGACCACUUCCCGUUGCCAUUUAUUGACCAAAUGUUGGAAAGGUUAGAUAGACAUGAUUACUAUUGUUUUCUAGAUGGAUACUUCGGGUAUAAUCAGAUUGCAGUCGCUCCGGAAGACCAAGAAAAGACAGCAUUCACAUGCCCGUAUGGUGUGUUUGCAUACCAAAGAAUGCCAUUCGGGUUGUGUAAUGCUCUAGCCACCUUCCAACGCUACAUGACUUCCAUCUUUGUCGGCAUGCUUGAAAAGCAUAUGGAAGUGUUCAUGGAUGACUUUUCGGUCUUUGGAUCCUCAUUUGAUAACUGUUUAACUAACCUCUCUCUUGUUUUAGACAGGUUCCAGAAAACAAACUUAAUUCUGAACUGGGAGAAAUGUCACUUCAUAGUGAGAGAAUGGAUAGUAUUGGGUCACAAAAUUUCCUACAAGGGAAUUGAAGUUGACCAGGCAAAGGUGGAAGUAAUAUCUAAGCUCCCACCUCUUGUUAAUGAGAAGGGCAUCAGGAGUUUCUUAGGACACACGGGUUUUUACCGCAGGUUCAUAAGAGAUUUCUCAAAAAUCACAAAACCGCUGACCACUCUAUUAGUUAAGGAUAAGGUAUUUAUGUUCGACAAAGAAUGCACCACAUCCUUUAAGACAUUGAAGAACAAGUUGAUUUCAGCACCAAUUGUUAUUUCCCUAGAUUGGUCUCUUCCGUUUGAGAUCAUUUAUGAUGCUAGUGAUAUUGUUGUAGGGGUAGUCUUAGGACAACAAAGAGAGAAGUUGCUACAUGUCAUUUACUAUGUUAGUCAUGUAUUGAACCCUGCACAGAUGAACUACGCAACUACUGAGAAAGAGUUAUUGGCCGUGGUUUAUGCAUUUGACAAAUUCAGGCAAUACUUGUUAGGAUCGAAGGUUGUCGUUUAUACUGACCAUGUCGCUUUGAAAUACUUAUUUGCUAAACAGGACUCUAAGCCGAGGCUUCUCAGGUGGAUCUUACUCCUCCAAGAAUUUGAUGUAGAGAUUAAGGACAAAAGGGGAUGUGAAAACACAGUAGCAGAUCAUUUAUCCAGAAUGUCACCAAUUGAAGGAACAGAAGAAAAGAGACCGAUAAAGGAUGAGUUCGUUGAGGAACACAUCCUCGUUGUCAUCGGUAUCCCUUGGUUCGCAGACUACGCGAAUUAUUUGGUGGGGGUGUAAUCUCUAAUGAUUUUGGUUCUAACAAAAAGAAAAAGUUUGUUCAUGGUUGCAGGUUCUACUUGUGGGAUGACCCAUUCCUAUACAAGAGAAGAGUGGAUGGACUGGUCAGAAGAUGCGUCUCGGAGGAGGAACAAAGGGAUGUACUCAGAGCUUGUCAUGACUCAGAUUAUGGAGGACACUUCAGUGGUGACAGAACAACGGCUAAGGUCCUUCAGUCAGGUCUAUAUUGGCCCAUACUGUUCAAAUAUGCCCAAGACAUUGUCAAAGAAUGCGACAGAUGUUAAAGAAUGGGGAAUAUUUCUAAGAGAAAUCAAAUAUCGUAAAACGCUAUGCUAGAAGUUGAAUUGUUUGAUGUCUGGGAAAUAGACUUCAUGGGGCCAUUUCCACCUUCAUUUGGAAAGAAUUACAUGUUAUUAGCAGUAGACUACGUAUCAAAGUGGGUGGAAGCGGUAGCAUUGCCCACCAAUGAUUCCAAAGUGGUUGUGACCUUUCUGAAGAAUAAUGUUUUUUUUUUCGAGAUUUGGGGUGCCGAGAGCACUUAUCAGUGAUGAAGGUACUCAUUUUUUAAACAAAAUGAUGGAGAAUCUGCUAAAGAAAUAUAAUGUUAAACACAAGAUCGCCACUCCGUAUCACCCACAAACGAGUGGCUAGGUCGAAGUGUCCAAUAGGCAGAUAAAGCAAAUACUGGAAAAGACUAUAUGCACAUCUCGGAAAGACUGGGCAGUAAAGUUAGAAGAUGCAUUAUGGGCAUACAUAAUGGCAUUCAAAAUGUCGAUAUGUAUGUCUCCCUAUCAGUUAGUUUAUGGUAAAGCUUGUCACUUGCCACUAGAGUUGGAGCAUAAAGCAUUUUGGGCAUCCAAGUUCUUAAAUUAUGAUCUUGCCAAAGCGGGUGAAUCCUGAAUCCUUCAGCUCCACGAGUUAGAGGAAUUUAGGAAUCAAGCCUAUGAGAAUGCCAAACUCUACAAGGAGAAGACAGAAAAAUGGCAUGAUCAGAAGCUACAGAGAAAGGAGUUUGUCGAGGGACAACUGGUGCUCUUGUUCAACUCCAGGUUAAAACUCUUUCCGGGAAAGUUGAAAUCCACGUGCUAGGGUCCAUUUUUGGUUCAUAGAGAGUUUCUCCAUGGAGCAAUAGAACUUAAAAAUCCUAGUAAUGGGGAUACAUUUAAGGUGAACAGACAAAGGUUAAAACACUACUGCAAAGGGCAAGAAAGUGGUCUGAUUCAUAAUGUUCGUCUCAGAGGAUAAGAGAGACGGCCGUCGAGCCAUGCGAUGUUAAACACAGCGCUUCGUGGGAGGAAACCACUCGGUUUAAUUCUAAUUAUUUUAGUGUUUGGUGUGUUUCCAAUUUUUAUUUGUAGGUUCGUGGGUAAAUCGUGAAGUACAGAAGAAAAGGUUUGAGUCAAACUCAUAGAAGGCAGUUGGCUAAAAGAGUAAGGGAAAACAGAGAAAAAAAGUCAGUUUUGAGGGGGAAAACAGGGCACUGACACGGGUGCCCGUGUCAGGAAAAGCAAGAAAGAGACGGAUUUUUCCAGUAGGCUGACACGGCCGCCUAUGUCAGCUGACACGACCCGUGUCAGCUCUAUUGGAGGUGGAGGCCAAAACCAGGGGCCUGACACAGCCGCCCGUGUCACGGGACACGGCCCGUGUCAGGCUGAACAGUGAUAUUUUUCAAAAUUUUAAAUUUUGCAUGUGUGGACCCCACCCGAAUUUUCCACCACUUAAAUCCAUUUUAAUCUCAAUUACUCCAUUAAAUCUGAUUUUCUCACCUUCUCUCUCCCAUUUUCACCAAACCUUUCUCCUUCCUCCAUUCUUUUUCAAAGUUCUCCAUAAGCUCAUCAACAAAAAGCUUACUACUUUGCCGCCAUACUCUGUCCAAAUCGCCAAAACCCUUCAUAAAAGUUGCUCUACUAUCCGUCCUCUACAAGGCCACGGUAAUCGUUUUUCCUUAUUCCAUACUUUAUUUUUGGUCAUAAUUUUUUGUUGCAGGAACCAAUCAUGCCGCCAAAGUGAAUUUCUAAAGGGAAACAAAUAAAAGCUGAAUCAUCGAGGCCUCGGAAACGGACCAUUCGUCAUCCGAAUUCGCACGAUAUAAUCUUCGACAACCCGGAGAACGAACGACGGUACUUUUAUCACGUUAAACGUAAGAUAACACCGACGAGGUACCUAUGCUCUGACACUUUAUUUCAAUUGGGUUUGUUGGAAGAAUUAUAUAGGAUGUUUCAUGUCCCCGACAUGCUUGAAUUUGUGCAUUAUGAAGCGCCUACUUAUGAGCGCAUCACUUUAGAAUUCUUGAGCACCAUUGAGUUCAAGUUAAAAAAAGGAUGGACAGGUACAACGAUGUACUAUGGAGGGACGGUGAAUUUCAGGUUAUAUAAUGUCAACCACGAAUUGACAGUGGAACAGUUGGGUGAGAUUCUCCGCCUACCCCUGUAUGGCCCUGAAGCCGUACCCGAUAGUUUUGAUGGUAAGACUUUCUGGUUGGCCAUCACGGGACGAUCAGAUUAUGUUACUAAAGGGGCGAAAGCAUCUGGAGUUCAAAACCCUUGUUUCAAAUAUGCUCAAAAGGUAUUGUCUUUCACGUUUUUCGAUAGGGGUGAUAACACAGGUGUGGCUACCCAGAGGGAGCUCUUCUUUUUGUUUGCCAUGGUAAACCGAGUUGUUGUAAGCAUUGGAGCAUUUGCAGCGGAUUACCUGGGUCGAGUGGGGAGAGCAGCCCAAGGGGGAAUUUCCAUCGGGGGUAUAAUCACACAGAUUACCCACCAUUUCGGUUAUGACCCUAUUGCACGAAAUGAGACGCCAGUGGCAGGUAAGCAUAAACUGGACAUGAACGCAUUGGUUCAACAAGGUAUGAUAUCACAAAUUUCUGAUUAUUAUGCUUUAAUGAGUUCUGGUCAAUUUAUUAUGGCCCUUCCUGACCCUGCACGAAUUAGCAUUGCCAACACGGCCAAUUGGCUAUAUGAGAGUGUCGUCCAAGAUGAUAUGGACGAGCACAAUGCUGACCCAUUUGAUACAUGUGACCAACAAGAGGAAGAGGUGCAGGAAGAGGUACAGGAACCAGAGUAGUUUGUUGCUCCGCCAGAGGACACCACGCACCCAGGUGUCGGGUCGUCAUAUGUGACACUGGACCAAUGGUCUUGGAUGCAGACAGAGAUCGGCGAUCUCCGAGCGGAGCAAACACGCCAAGACAUAGAGCAAGCCCGUCAAGGGACUCUUAUGGAUGAAAUGCAUGCGAUGAUGCAACGACUAAUGUUGCAAUUUCCUCCACCGCAGUGAGCCUCUGUGAGUCCCCUUCUAUCUUGGAUUAAACAUUGCGGAUAAUGUUUGGUUCAAGUGUGUAUGUGUGUGUGUGUGGAUUAUUAUUUGUUCUUAGUAUUUUCAACAUUUAUGAUUUUUGUUUAAAGUAAUUAGUUGUGUGGUAUUUUUUGUGUUACAGAUAGAGUACAUUCGUGCCGGAUGAAUGAUGAAGCUUGGAGCGAUUGGAUGAAAGACAUACUCCUUUACUUGCUCUUCUAGAAACCCCCAAAAGUUGAUAUUGUUGAUCUGAAUAAUCAGACGCGAUUGUCUGUCACUGCACUACUCAGGAAUACUCUGUAACCGAAGAGAAGACAAAGCUACAUCACACUGAGAGGUAUCUUGGAAGUCUGUAAGUUAUACCAAACAUGGUGAGAACUACAAAAAGGCCAAACACUUGUCAUCAUGAGAGAUUUUCAGGUAUGUCUCUGUCUCUCUGAGUUUGCAUAAGAGAUGCUGGAUUUCAUAACACACAUGUACACACUGAGGCAAUUUUUUUGUAUUAACCCUGAGCCUUUCCAGCCAACCCGCCAUUAUUACCCUUCGUUCACCCAAUUCGAGCCAUAUUUCCUUUUGUUUGUUGUUUAACCACUGUAAAUAACCGUAAGCCCAAACAUUAGCGUACCUUUCUUGGAUAAGUGUUGUUGGGGUUUCAUAAAAUUUUGGGACACCGAUGAAAAGUAGAUAAGUGCAGAAAAAGAAAAAUAGAAAAGUACGAAACUUCAAAAGAGAAAAAAAAAUAUGAUAAGUAUCAUGAAACACUUAUCUAGAAGAAUUGAGAUUGGCAAAAAGCGUGCUCAAAAGAAAAAAAAAAGAGAAAAAUAAGAGCCAAUGAAUCCUAACAAGAACGAUGCCCAAAAGAAAAACCUCUUGAUUAAAAGAUUGAACACAACUACAAGGGUAGCAACACGGACUCUGAGCUUGAACCUCUAGUUUUUCCCUUUUUGUUUUGUUAAGUUUCCUCACCUUGCACCUUAUCCCCACUACAACCCAAAAAGCCCUCGAAUAGUGUGUGUUGUGUGUUUUUGUUAUGAAGGUAUCUGUUAUUCAAACCUAUGAGUUGACUUUGCAUGCUCUGUUUUUUAGUGAAAACACUUUGACCCCGAGAGAUUUUGUGAGAGUGUGAAAAGCUACAAACCAGAAGGUGCGUCAAUGUGAAAAAGUGUAAAGGAAGUUGGAAGUCGGGAAAGAGUAAAACAGUGAAUGAAAAAUGAACAGGGAAUCACGAAAGAGCACAAUAACAUUGUGGAUGCAGAGUUUAGGGGUGACCGUUCUGAUGUCUCGAGCAUCACUUGAGGACAAGCAAUGAGAUAAGUUUGGGGUUGUGAUCAGUCUCCAAUUCUAUUUUUUUUCGGACACUCAUUCGGCACAAUUUCACGAAGUCGGUAACACAUUGUUCUACCUGUUUUGUUGUUCUGUUUAGUAAAUUAGAUGUUUGCAUUUUUAUUUAAGUUUGUUGAUUAUCUUUGGUUUGCAUCAUUAUACUUCAUUUUAUGUCUCCUUGUGGUAGUUUUACUGGUUUCAGGUGUAAGCAAGAAUACCGAAGGAAUUGCCAUGGGAAUCGGACGUUCCGGGCCCAUAGGAAGAGGAAAUUGGACAUACAAUAACCCUGACACGGGUGCCUGUAUCACCCGACCCGACCCAUGUCAGGAGAAGGGGGGCAUAGCCAUAAAAUAGGGAGUUGACACGGCCGCCUAUGUCAGCUGACACGGCCCGUGUUAGCCAUCCUGGAAGGGGCAUGUCAGCCCUUGCAGCCAGACAGCCAACAUGGCCGGUCGUGUUGCCUGACACGGCCAGUGUUAGCUUGGACGCCUCAUUUUCCAGUUUUUGCUGUAUUUUGGCACGGCUUAUCCCGAAGGGCAUUUUGGACUUUUGCUACAUCAAAUUAGUGAUCAGUAACUAUUUAGGGGAUUUUUGAAUACGGAGAAGAGGACUUUUAACGAUUACAGAUUUGGUACGAUUAAGAUUGAAGCGAUCAAAAGCGACGAAGAACGGAGGUCCUUCAAGAGCGGAUGCGAUUGAAGAUCAACGAAAUUCCCUUACUUUUGUAAUGUCUAAAUUUUAUUUUGUAUCUUAUUUGAAUAAUAUGAGAGGUUAAACCCCUCAAUGCCAUGGGGUGUCCCUGAAUUGAUCGUGUAAUGACUCUGAAUUAAUAAUUUCCUUAAUAUAUGAUGUUUGUUGUUAAUUUCACUGUGCAAUGUUCGUAAUGCUUUCUUUAUCAGAAAAAUUAGGAUUGUUAAAUGGUUAAUAAUUUGCGGGAUUGCAAUUGUUAAGGUGUUUGUACAGUGAAACCAUAGUAUAUGUCACCUAGGGCUAGGGAUACCCUAUGGUUACCGGUUUUAUCUUGUUAAUUUGUAAUUGCUUGGUUUCAUUAUAAUCGCCUAAGGACUUAGAGAUUAAAAUGAAUGACCAAAGGUUUCCCUUUAAGGUCGUAGGAGGAAACAAUUUUAAGAUUCGGUAAUUGAACAUUUUGUUUUGUUAAGGAGAUAUACACUCAAGGGUCAUUACAGGAGAUUUUCAUACACCAUCCUUGGCAUAUUAUUAUAAAUUGUGAAAAGAUUUACCCUAUUUUAUUUUCUCAUACAAUGACUUUUUACAAAACCCCAACUAUUUGUUUUGUUCAAUUAAGUCACAAUUUAAACUUGUAUUGUUGCGCAAUCCUCGAGAUCGAUCUUUGGGAAACAUCCCUAUUAUUACUACAUCUGCAAAAUCGUACACUUGCUAUUUUCUCGAUCACUUCACUCUCAGAACUCAUAGAUAUUUUCCUCUCUCGAAUUUGUAUUCUCAUAUUCAUCUCAAGAUCCAGAGGAAGAAGAAGGAAGAAGAGAGAAGUGAAAAAGAAUAAGAGCAUAGGUUAGAACGUACCUGAUUCAAGUGAUUUUCUUCAUUGCAAGCUUCUUCCCCGGAGCAACGUUUUUCCGGAGCAAAUCUCCGCUUAUGAGGUAAUUAUUUUUCUCCUCGUUUCUGCACGAUCUUGUUACCACUGUGUAGAUUAUGCUCUAGGUAUAAUUAUCCCUAAGCUUUGAUCAUGAAUCUGUGAACAACCAUCGUUUAAUUUAUCAUUUCUUGCCUAGGGUUCUUGAAUGCUU